UCCUGAGGCCUAUCAUGUUGGAGGGGUGGAUCUUAAGAUGUACAUCAGGGUAAGGCACACUGCUAGCACACUAGAUGGAGAGUAUUGGUGUCCUGGUUCCCACAGGUGUCUGUGUAUCUAGGAAGCAGGAGAAAGAAAUGGCACCCACGAGUUCCUUUGUUCUUGAGAAAGUCUCCCAAUGAUCCCCCCACCCCCAGCACAUGCUCUAAGAGAGGACAAAAAAGUGCAAGAAGACCAUGGGCUUUGGGGCCAGACUGCCUGGAGUUGAAUCUGAGUUCCUCUUUAAAAACUGUUUGAACUUAGAUACCCACAAACAAUUUGCUGGAGUGGUAGAAUGAAAAUGGAUUAUUUCUGGAAAAAUACAAUGGAAAUGGAGAUUGCUACCCAUUUUAAAGAUUACCUCUUCAA
Molecule: long non-coding RNA, 408 nt
Organism: Lutra lutra (Eurasian river otter)
Lineage: Eukaryota; Metazoa; Chordata; Mammalia; Carnivora; Mustelidae
Exons: 3
Source: RefSeq, a predicted model, not a curated record